This 393-nucleotide ribosomal RNA is filed under the name uncultured bacterium. RNAcentral describes it as "partial 16S ribosomal RNA". It matches the Rfam family "Bacterial small subunit ribosomal RNA", at positions 523 to 918 of the family's 1533-position model. The record is from RNAcentral.
AUACGGAGGACGCGAGCGUUAUCCGGAUUCAUUGGGUUUAAAGGGUGCGCAGGCGGCCGUGCAAGUCAGCGGUGAAAGCCCGGGGCUCAACCCCGGAAGUGCCGUUGAUACUGCGUGGCUGGAAUGCGGUCGAGGCGGGCGGAACGUGGCGUGUAGCGGUGAAAUGCGUAGAUAUGCCACAGAACGCCGAUAGCGGAGGCAGCUCGCCAGGCCUGCAUUGACGCUCGGGCACGAAAGCGUGGGGAUCGAACAGGAUUAGAUACCCUGGUAGUCCACGCCGUAAACGAUGGGCGCUCGUCGUCGGCGACAGACAGUCGGCGGCCAAGCGAAAGCGAUAAGCGCCCCACCUGGGGAGUACGGUCGCAAGGCUGAAACUCAAAUGAAUUGACGGGG